UACGUAGGGUGCAAGCGUUGUCCGGAAUUAUUGGGCGUAAAGAGCUCGUAGGCGGCUUGUCACGUCGACUGUGAAAACCCGGGGCUCAACUCCGGGCCUGCAGUCGAUACGGGCUGGCUAGAGUUCGGUAGGGGAGAUCGGAAUUCCUGGUGUAGCGGUGAAAUGCGCAGAUAUCAGGAGGAACACCGGUGGCGAAGGCGGAUCUCUGGGCCGACACUGACGCUGAGGAGCGAAAGCGUGGGGAGCGAACAGG
Molecule: ribosomal RNA, 253 nt
Filed under: uncultured bacterium
Lineage: Bacteria
Description: partial 16S ribosomal RNA
Rfam family: Bacterial small subunit ribosomal RNA
Source: RNAcentral